UCGAGAAUAUUCGACAAUGGGCGAAAGCCUGAUCGAGCGACGCCGCGUGCAGGAUGAAGCAUCUCGGUGUGUAAACUGCUUUUCUACGGGAAAAACUUCGGUGAUGGUACCGUAGGAAUAAGUGGCUGCAAACUUCGUGCCAGCAGCCGCGGUAAUACGAAGGCCACAAGCGUUAUCCGGAUUUAUUGGGCGUAAAGGGCGCGUAGGGGGCUUGGUGUGUUUCUGGUAAAAUACCGGGGCUUAACUUCGGAAUCGCCAGGAAAACUACCAGGCUUGAGGAUGUUAGAGGUGAGUGGAACGCACGGUGUAGGGGUGAAAUCCGUUGAUAUCGUGCGGAACACCAAAGGCGAAGGCAGCUCACUGGGACAUUCCUGACCCUGAGGCGCGAAAGCGUGGGGAG
This 400-nucleotide ribosomal RNA is filed under the name uncultured bacterium. RNAcentral describes it as "bacterial SSU rRNA". It matches the Rfam family "Bacterial small subunit ribosomal RNA", at positions 355 to 768 of the family's 1533-position model. The record is from RNAcentral.